RNAcentral lists this ribosomal RNA (249 nucleotides) under uncultured Acidobacteriota bacterium. RNAcentral's name for it is "uncultured Acidobacteria bacterium partial 16S ribosomal RNA". It matches the Rfam family "Bacterial small subunit ribosomal RNA", at positions 355 to 597 of the family's 1533-position model. The record is from RNAcentral. Lineage: Bacteria; Pseudomonadati; Acidobacteriota.
UGGGGAAUUGUUCGCAAUGGGCGCAAGCCUGACGACGCAACGCCGCGUGGAGGAUGAAGGUCUUCGGAUUGUAAACUCCUGUUGAUCGGGACGAAAAGCUUCGACCUAAUACGCCGAAGACUGACGGUACCGGUUGAGGAAGCCACGGCUAACUCUGUGCCAGCAGCCGCGGUAAUACAGAGGUGGCAAGCGUUGUACGGAAAUACUGGGGGUAAAGGGCGCGGAGGCGGCCUUCUAAGUCGGACGGGA